AAUCAACGCUGGCGGCGUGCCUCAGACAUGCAAGUCGAACGAUUAAAGCUCUCUUCGGAGAGUGCAUAGAGUGCGCACGGGUGAGUAACACGUAAGUAAUCUACCUUCGAGUGGGAAUAACGUCCGGAAACGGACGCUAAUACCGCAUAAUGCAGCGGCAUCGCAAGAUGACAGUUGUUAAAGGAGCAAUUCGCUUGAAGAGGAGCUUGCGGCAGAUUAGCUAGUUGGUAAGGUAAUGGCUUACCAAGGCUACGAUCUGUAACCGGUCUAAGAGGACGGUCGGUCACACUGACACUGAAUAACGGGUCAGACUCCUACGGGAG
This 323-nucleotide ribosomal RNA is filed under the name uncultured bacterium. Its description in RNAcentral is "bacterial SSU rRNA". It matches the Rfam family "Bacterial small subunit ribosomal RNA", at positions 32 to 347 of the family's 1533-position model. The record is from RNAcentral.